CUUCAUGAACAGAGGCUAGAGUGAGUUCAUACACGUAGGCUACCGGCACAUUAUUGGCAGUUGGUUUUUGCUUCGCAAUGAGGGCUAAUCGUCACAACACAAACUCUUGAUCUGUCGAUUCGGGCGAUUUUAUUACCCUCUUGUGAGUUCUCACUACAACGAUGUGGAGACUACCAUGAGAAAACGAGGCAACUUUUGUGGACAGAUGUUGACAGUGUCCAAGCUCCAAGAAAUGUUUUGUUUAAUUGUGACUUUCUGGAGGAUAUUCCCUUGGAAACCAUUAGAAAUUGGAAAAGAAAAUUGAACCAUACUAAUCAUUCAUCGUCCUGGUGAAAGAAAUCUGUGCCGAGGUGUGCUAGAAAUAUAGAAUUUGUAGGCAACAAAGACAAAAUGAGAGAUUGCGUGAUCCUACGGAGAUGAGCUGUCAUCUUUGACAUUUUGACCGACCGUUGGAAUCGCGCUAAUAUCCUCUCUGCGUAAGGGCCCGGUCCAAAACGACUUCCGUUCACGCUCUCGUACAAACCCUAACCAGCGCAUGGCGAUUUGGAUCCAGUUCUCGAUGAAGUUUUAUUUGUAGUAAACGCCAUGGCUACCUCUCCAUCACGUAUUAAUCUUCAUCAUCUUCCACCGACGCGUAAUUGGCCAUCUGAUAUCUGAUAUAUAUUUUCAUUUUCUCCGUUGAUGAAAUAUUCAUCAUCUUCUGCCGACGCGUUCUUGGUCAUCUGGUAUCUGGUUGUGUUUAUAUUCACUCCUUCUUUUGAGCGUGCUCUGGAGGACUAUCUAGGGUUUCUGACCCGAUUGUCUGGCAAAUUUGAUCGGUUGUGACUGCGAGAUGGUGCGCGAUUUAUCCAUCCCAUAGACUCACUUUGCCUUCUAGAUCGGAGCACUUUUAUAUUUCUUCAGAUUUCCUUUCGAAGUGUAAGUAUACCUCCAUCUCAUUCGGGAAUAGUAAUUAUCCACGACCCAAUUCUGACAUCCUUGAAUAUAAUGGUGUUCUGUUUUCUUCCUGAAUUUUGAUCAAUUUAGUGGUUCUGUCUACGGAGUUCUUUUUUCCAAAUUAGAUUGACUGCUGGAACGAAUAAUGCCUUUUAACUACAUAACCAUUUUUUUUUCUUUCUAUAUUCUGAACUUCAUGGACAUUACUAUUUUGUAGACUUCAGUGGAGAAUUAUUGUUUAAUGAUCUGAAUGCCAGCAAAAAAUUGAUGGACGAGCAUGUGUUGUUUGAAGA
This is a non-coding RNA of Momordica charantia (bitter melon), 1229 nucleotides long. The record is from RefSeq and is a predicted model, not a curated record. Lineage: Eukaryota; Viridiplantae; Streptophyta; Magnoliopsida; Cucurbitales; Cucurbitaceae.